CUUUUAAAGCAGAUAAAAAUGACCUGAAACUCAAUCUUGGUGUUGGUGCCUAUAGAAUAGAAGAAUUGUAGCCCUAUGUCCUCAGUGUAGUCAAGAAGGCUGAAAAUCUUAUGUUGGAGAAAGGAGAAAACAAAGAGUAUCUUCCUAUUAAAGGCUUAACAACAUUUACCAAAGCAACUGCAGAGCUACUCCUUGGAGCUGACAACCCCGUCAUCAAGCAAGGACUGUUUCUGUAGCAAGUCAUCAACAAUAUGGAGUAGAGGAAGAGUACAUGGAUCUGGAGUUCUAGACAGUUUAUAAAUCAAAUGUCACAAGUAUGUGCUCAACUGACUACCAUUGCUGUCUUGAUGCUCGGUUUUACA
Panicum virgatum (switchgrass) is the source of this 362-nucleotide long non-coding RNA. RefSeq lists it as uncharacterized. The record is from RefSeq and is a predicted model, not a curated record. Lineage: Eukaryota; Viridiplantae; Streptophyta; Magnoliopsida; Poales; Poaceae. The transcript is spliced from 4 exons.